This is a non-coding RNA of Cyanistes caeruleus (blue tit), 3049 nucleotides long. Lineage: Eukaryota; Metazoa; Chordata; Aves; Passeriformes; Paridae. The record is from RefSeq and is a predicted model, not a curated record.
UCCUGUGCCAGCCCUGGUGUGCUGGCAGCGGGCGCUGUGUCCGCCUGUGCUCACCGCGGGACGCCGGCCAUUCCCUUAGGACGAUGAUUUUCCCUCUUUUUUUUUUUUUUCUCCACGGCACCAAGAGAAAGAGGAAAACCUCUCAGCCCUGCCGAAAAAUGCAGUGGCACGCCACUUUUUAAUGUUUCUUCUUUGAAAGAAACAUUCUUCUUUGCACCUGACUCAGCUUUUCGUGGAAGUCUUCAAAGGUAGAUGAGCCUACAAAUCCUAGCCAGACGUCCCUGUGGAAAUAAACCAAAGGAAACUCUAAGGAACCCAGGAUGCUUACUGGAAUAAAACAUAGAAAAGUGUGCUGCUGCAGGAAAGAGGGCACAUCUUGUCGUGGACCGGUCAACAGCAACCAGCAGAUUUACAGUUCCCACAGACUGAACCUCUCAGCCUUUUUGUCCUACACGGGAUGAAACUGAACACAUGCCAUUUGUUUCUAUUUUUACCACCUGCAUUCUCAAUCCAGUAUAAGGAGAGGCCCAACCAAAGGAAUUGUCUCAAUGUCACUUGGCACGAUCACUUAAAAAUUGUUUUCAUUGCAAAGGGAGUGGUAAGAAUGUCCCUGUGAUCCAUGGAAAUACAGGUUAUUCACGUCCAUUGUACAGCACUCGUUUUCACCAGUAUUCAAUAGCUGGUGUGCGCAGCCCUAAACACAGCAAGUUUGGGAAACAGCAUCGGUUCCCACUGCACAUCCCCAGCUCCCCAUACUCUGUGUUAAAUAUUGGAUGCCAACAGGAAACCUGCAAGUCUCUUGGAGCUGCUCUAAAAUCUUUCCUCAGGAGUCUGGAAGAAACGUCCUCAUUCACAGUGCAUUGGUAGAGACGUUGCAUAUUUCAUCCCUUUUCAAAUAUUUAUAUAUGUACUUCACGUUUGAGUAAAGCUGUCCUUUUCAUCAGAGCAGGAAGAUUACAGUAAAGGGAGGAAUUACCCUAAAUCGGCAAACAUCAUUGUCCAUUAAGUAACAGGAGGGUUUGAAAGGAGAAUUGAGUGUCUGGCAGCCAGGAGCUUGGCUCCACCGCACAGGAGACCUCAUAAUGAUAUGUUUUGUUAUCAACUGAAAAAAGCUGGUCAUGGGGCUGUCUUUGGAAACCUUCAUGGAUGGAGGUGUUUUAAUCCCAAUGUAUUCCUUGAUCCACUCUGCAGCCGGGCCUCAAAAGUGGACUGAAAGAAGGAAAAUACCCAGAACCAGCACUGCCAUUGCCCACAGCACAUUUCAAACUACUCCUGACUGUGAUGCCCCUGCUGUGCCCUAAAAGCCCCAGGGGAGGUGAGGCCGGGGCUCUCCCAAGCAGGACAUUCAGCCUUCCCUGGAUCCAAAUCCAUACAUCACACCAGGCAAAGCCCUAAGCCCCGGAAUGUUUCUUACCUGGUGCUGUCAAUUACCAGGUCCUGGAUGGGGCAGGACAGCAGGGACCACAUCUCAGCACAGAUGUAGAACCUCUCCUGGACGGCUGCUUGUGCCGGGGUGAAACCAAGGGAGGCCUGGAAAAGGUUAAAGUUGUUGUGGUUAAAGUUGUUGUGCAGUUUGCUUCCAUGGAAGAAGAAGCAGGGUUUUCAUGUUUCAGGUCUGUAAAGCCAAGUUUUGUGACAGACACAGCAGUAAAUCAUUGCACUUUUUUGUUCCCUCUCCUGAGAAAGUGAGCAAAUAAUUUUGACUGCAGCAGCUUUAAUUUGAUCUGAAUCUGGAAUAACAUUUUUGCCUGCGUAUUCAAAAGCACCACCUUCACUCAGCAUCAUGAUGCAAACAAUGAGAUGCAGUGUACAGCCCUUGUCAGGGAGCUGCAGAGCACCAAACAUUUCCUGGGAGCUGGGUUCUGGGAAGCUGUGUGCUCAGGGCAUCGGUGUCACAUCACUUGGUGACACAAAUUCUCAUUGCCCGAGUUUUUCCAUAGGUAGGGUAGCAUGCACAACAGCCAGAAAAUAGAAUCUUUUUAAAAAGAUUCAACUCUCAUUUUGUAUCAAAAUCAUUGUGGGGUUUUAAACCUUUUUUUCUUUUUUUCUUUUUUUCUUUUUUAAUUUUUUUUCCCCCAGGCUGUUUAUUCACAGUAUUUGAGUUCACUGUAAUAAAAGCUGACCUGGGGACUGCUGCGUUCACAUCAGCGGGAACGAGCUAUGUACACUGGCCUUUUCUCUAGCAUUUGCCUGUUAAUUAAUAAUUGGUACGUUGCCAGGAGCAAAGGAGAAGUAGGAACGAGAUUCAGGUUAUAAAAUCUGCAAGGUUAUCUCGCUGUCCCUGCAGCAAAGCAGAGCCAAGGCGCUGACAGAAGGGCUGUGGCUGUGGGCCAUCGCCCCAGGGCCAUGUGCUGCAUUCCCGGGGGAGCCACAUCCCAGCACUCCCGGAGCCUUCGCGGUGGCUGCCGGCACGUCCUCCCCCAGCCACGGGAAAGCAGAGGGCACAGGAAUUUCCCUGCCUGUUGUCGGGAUUCCCGGGUAUCUGCCUGCAGCCACCCCUGGGAACGGGGCUGGCUUGUCCCCCAGGGCAGCUCAGCACGGGGGAGCAGCACCCAGCUCCGCAGAAACACGGAGUAGCUCCUUUCCCUGAGUCUGGCGUGGCUGGCAGUCGCUGACAUUGUGGAAGUGCUUGUCCCAGAGCUCUCACACUGUGUCCAGAACAUGCAUCUCUCGGCCCUUGCUCCAAAAUGAUCACCCACCCCCCUGUGCUGAAAGCGCUGCAGGCACACAGGCACUGAAACACCUCCUCCACACCUGUGGGCACUCACUUGGCUCUCCUGAAUCAAAACCCUUCCAUAAGGCCAGGACAGCUGGAAUUAAUUUUCUGUACUGGACCAAAGCUUAUCCAGGAUUCCAAUCUGCCUGAUUUUUGUGGACAGGUCGGUAUGGCUAGAGGACACCUGGAAAGCACGGGAGUAACCCGAGCAUGCUUCUGUGACCAGAGGAUAAGAACAGGAGAUAAGAGGUUAGAAUUUAAAUAAUGACAACAGACUAAAGAUUUCUCCUGUGGUGUGCAAGCACUUCAGCAGCAAUAAGGAAAAAAAAAAAA